CAGAUUAGUUGAGGUGGAUGCAUGGAUGCUGAUGUCAGCUGAUGUCAUGUCCCGAAGAUUUCUAGUAGGGCUUGACAGCUGGUGAUGGAGAUGAAUUUGAAGGCGAUAAGAGUGGACCAGCAUAGGCAGAGUUUUGGACAGUGGACAAAACGGACUUCGCAGCCACAGAACACAUGAG
Nilaparvata lugens (brown planthopper) is the source of this 178-nucleotide long non-coding RNA. RefSeq lists it as uncharacterized. The record is from RefSeq and is a predicted model, not a curated record. The transcript is spliced from 3 exons. Lineage: Eukaryota; Metazoa; Arthropoda; Insecta; Hemiptera; Delphacidae.